GCGACCCCAGGUCAGGCGGGAUUACCCGCUGAAUUUAAGCAUAUCAAUAUAAGGCGGAGGGA
RNAcentral lists this ribosomal RNA (62 nucleotides) under Actaea cordifolia. RNAcentral describes it as "partial 28S ribosomal RNA". Lineage: Eukaryota; Viridiplantae; Streptophyta; Magnoliopsida; Ranunculales; Ranunculaceae. The record is from RNAcentral.